UAGUAACUGCGAGUGAAGCGGGAAAAGCUCAAAUUUAAAAUCUGGCGUCUUUGGCGUCCGAGUUGUAAUUUAGAGAAGUGUUACCCGUGUUGGACCGUGCACAAGUUCCCUGGAAUGGGACGUCAAAGAGGGUGAGAAUCCCGUAUUUGGCACGGACUACCAAUGCAUUGUGGUGCGCUCUCGAAGAGUCGAGUUGUUUGGGAAUGCAGCUCAAAAUGGGUGGUAAAUUCCAUCUAAAGCUAAAUAUUGGGGAGAGACCGAUAGCGAACAAGUACCGUGAGGGAAAGAUGAAAAGAACUUUGGAAAGAGAGUUAAACAGUACGUGAAAUUGCUGAAAGGGAAACGCUUGAAGUCAGUCGCGUUGUGCGGGAUUCAGCCUGGCUUUUGCUUGGUGUACUUCCUGUAUGACGGGUCAACAUCAAUUUUGACCGGUGGAUAAGGAUGUAGGGAAUGUGGCAUCUUCGGAUGUGUUAUAGCCUUAUGUCGCAUACAUCGGUUGGGAUUGAGGAACUCAGCACGCCGCAAGGCCGGGUUUUUAACCACGUUCGUGCUUAGGAUGUUGGCAUAAUGGCUUUAAUCGACCCGUCUUGAAACACGGACCAAGGAGUCUAACAUGCUUGCGAGUGUUUGGGGUG
This 635-nucleotide ribosomal RNA is filed under the name Mycena breviseta. Its description in RNAcentral is "partial large subunit ribosomal RNA". It matches the Rfam family "Eukaryotic large subunit ribosomal RNA", at positions 81 to 701 of the family's 3401-position model. Lineage: Eukaryota; Fungi; Basidiomycota; Agaricomycetes; Agaricales; Mycenaceae. The record is from RNAcentral.